Molecule: long non-coding RNA, 433 nt
Organism: Nycticebus coucang (slow loris)
Lineage: Eukaryota; Metazoa; Chordata; Mammalia; Primates; Lorisidae
Exons: 3
Source: RefSeq, a predicted model, not a curated record
GUUCUGAGCUGGCCGUUCGUACACUUGCCAAGCCGACCGCAAGAGAGGACUGACUGCCACGGACACUGCCAUCGCUGACUGUCAGUGCGACCCGCGGACGCUCUGCGUCCGCGCAGGAUGCCAUUGAAAUGAAGCUGCCCCAACAACCUUCAUGGGAAGAAUUCACUUCAAGAGUAAAGAUGUUGAAUACCAGAAGACGGGUUACAUGUGGAAUUCACACUCUCACCAGCUAGCGGGAGGCACAGACCACUAAUGUUGCUUGACUGAAUCAUUCCUGGUGACCACCAAAAAGGAUGAGAAAGCCAAAGCAGAAAAUGUGGAGAGUCUGUGAAAGGACCUCAGGAGAUGCAACACUUCUACUCUUUUUCUACCCCCUGGGUCUGACUUAUCACAUUGGAGGAUUGGGGAGAAAAUCUGGGUAUGAAUGUCUCAG